UACGUAGGUGGCAAGCGUUGUCCGGAAUUAUUGGGCUUAAAGGGUGCGUAGGUGGCUAUCUAAGUCAGUGGUGAAAUAUCUCAGCUUAACUGAGAGGGUGCCAUUGAUACUGGAUAGCUUGAGUACAGAUGAGGUAGGCGGAAUUGACGGUGUAGCGGUGAAAUGCAUAGAUAUCGUCAAGAACACCGAUAGCGAAGGCAGCUUACCAAGCUGUAACUGACACUGAGGCACGAAAGUGUGGGGAUCAAACAGG
RNAcentral lists this ribosomal RNA (253 nucleotides) under uncultured bacterium. RNAcentral's name for it is "partial 16S ribosomal RNA". It matches the Rfam family "Bacterial small subunit ribosomal RNA", at positions 524 to 776 of the family's 1533-position model. The record is from RNAcentral.